AUUGAACGCUGGCGGCAUGCUUUACACAUGCAAGUCGAACGGUAACAGGCCUUCGGGUGCUGACGAGUGGCGAACGGGUGAGUAAUGCAUCGGAACGUACCCAGAGGUGGGGGAUAACGCAGCGAAAGCUGUGCUAAUACCGCAUGUGAUCUGAGGAUGAAAGCGGGGGACCGAGCAGCAAUGUUUGGCCUCGCGCCUUUGGAGCGGCCGAUGUCGGAUUAGCUAGUUGGUGGGGUAAAGGCCUACCAAGGCGACGAUCCGUAGCUGGUCUGAGAGGACGAUCAGCCACACUGGGACUGAGACACGGCCCAGACUCCUACGGGAGGCAGCAGUGGGGAAUUUUGGACAAUGGGCGCAAGCCUGAUCCAGCAAUGCCGCGUGCGGGAAGAAGGCCUUCGGGUUGUAAACCGCUUUUGGAAGGAACGAAACGGUGUCGGCUAAUACCGAGCGCUAAUGACGGUACCUGCAGAAUAAGCACCGGCUAACUACGUG
RNAcentral lists this ribosomal RNA (492 nucleotides) under uncultured bacterium. Its description in RNAcentral is "partial 16S ribosomal RNA". It matches the Rfam family "Bacterial small subunit ribosomal RNA", at positions 29 to 507 of the family's 1533-position model. The record is from RNAcentral.